This 214-nucleotide long non-coding RNA is filed under the name Hordeum vulgare. RNAcentral describes it as "long non-coding RNA (HVUL_LNC000281)". The record is from RNAcentral. Lineage: Eukaryota; Viridiplantae; Streptophyta; Magnoliopsida; Poales; Poaceae.
AACUUUUACUAAGGGGCAAUUAUGAUGUGCAUCCUGUCAGCAGCAUCUUGUUUGUAGGAUCAACACUAGCGAUAUCCAUAGAGAUACAGUGUUGCUAUCUACAGCAGACUGAACUUAGGGGAGUUGACAAAAUAACAUAUCUUCGUCUAGCUUUGACAAAAUAACAUGAUAUGUUUAUAACUACGGUUAUGAUCUUGCACCCUGUGUGUUAGAU